UAUCAGUAAGCGGAGGAAAAGAAACUAACAAGGAUUCCCCUAGUAACGGCGAGUGAAGAGGGAAAAGCCCAGCACUGAAUCCAACAGUUUACGCUGUUUGGAAAUGUAGUGUUUAGGUAUCAUUUUGCACUAUUCGACUUGUCCCAAGUCCGCUUGAUUGCGGCUCUUUGUGCCCAGAGAGGGUGUUAGGCCCGUAGGGGCAGGUUGGGUGGUGCCUGAUGUUACCUUAGAGUCGGGUUGUUUGUGAAUGCAGCCCAAAGCGGGUGGUAAACUCCAUCCAAGGCUAAAUACUUACACGAGACCGAUAGUCAACAAGUACCGCGAGGGAAAGUUGAAAAGAACUUUGAAGAGAGAGUUCAAUAGUACGUGAAACCGCUCAGAGGUAAACGGGUGGCGCUGAAGUGAUCCCGGGAAUUCAGCCGGUUAAGACGUUAGUGAUUUUUGCGGGAAAUGGCUCCUUGUCUUUCCAGCUUAUUUUGUCCGGCGUUUUGACUGGUGCACUUUCCCUGGGGUCUAUACCACGACCGGUCAAUCGAGAUGCCUUCUGCGUUCGGGUUGGUAGCGUAGUCUCCUAGAUUGCGUGAAAGCCUGUUUGCGUUGUGUGUCCGGAGGACCGAGGACUCGACAUAAGCCGUCCCGGCGCGCAUAUAUUCAGCGAGGUUGGCAUCGUUGGUUGGACUGCCUGGCAGACUAGCCGGUUUUGUCUCCUUUGCCUGGGUAUCGCUGCGCAAUGUGUCAAUAGUCUGUGGUGUUAAGUAGGUUACCGACCCGA
Molecule: ribosomal RNA, 772 nt
Filed under: Monostichoplana filum
Lineage: Eukaryota; Metazoa; Platyhelminthes; Proseriata; Otoplanidae
Description: eukaryotic LSU rRNA
Rfam family: Eukaryotic large subunit ribosomal RNA
Source: RNAcentral